AAAAUAAAAAUAAAAAACCCACAAUGUACCAAAAACAAAUAAAUCACAAAAUUACAAAAAGUAAUUUAAAGUAUUAGAAAAAACAAAUCUCGUCCGUCCAUCAAAAGAACAAGACACGUGUUAGUACACGUGUCACCUCUACAUCAAAGCAGCAGCGAUGAUCACGCCAGCGAACGCAGCACCGCCAAUGACGGCUCUGUUACCGGCGUUAGGCGACGACGGUGUGUUGUCGGCAGAAGGCUGAUCCGCCGGUGCACCACCGGUAGGAGUAGGUGCUGGUGGUGAAACGACGCCGGCACCGGAUGGUCCCGGCGAUGGAGAAGUUGCGGAAGCAGCCGGAGAUGGAGUUGGUGAAGUAGUAGGAGCGGUAGAAGGUGCCGACCGCAACUCCAACUCCAUCUCCAACUCCGACACCAACUCCGGCACCUUCUA
This 432-nucleotide unclassified non-coding RNA is filed under the name Hevea brasiliensis (rubber tree). The record is from RNAcentral. Lineage: Eukaryota; Viridiplantae; Streptophyta; Magnoliopsida; Malpighiales; Euphorbiaceae.